Molecule: ribosomal RNA, 442 nt
Filed under: uncultured bacterium
Lineage: Bacteria
Description: partial 16S ribosomal RNA
Rfam family: Bacterial small subunit ribosomal RNA
Source: RNAcentral
CUACGGGCGGCUGCAGUGGGGAAUAUUGGGCAAUGGGCGCAAGCCUGACCCAGCAACGCCGCGUGAGGGAAGAAGGUUUUCGGAUUGUAAACCUCUGUCCUUGGGGACGAAGAAGUGACGGUACCCAAGGAGGAAGCUCCGGCGUAACUACGUGCCAGCAGCCGCGGUAAUACGCAGGGAGCAAGCGUUGUCCGGAAUUACUGGGCGUAAAGGGUGCGUAGGCGGCAUAUUAAGUCAGGUGUGAAAUACUCGGGCUCAACCCGGGGGCUGCAUUUGAAACUGAUAUGCUUGAGUGUGAGAGAGGAAAGUGGAAUUCCUAGUGUAGCGGUGGAAUGCGUAGAUAUUAGGAGGAACACCAGUGGCGAAGGCGACUUUCUGGCUCAUAACUGACGCUGAGGCACGAAAGCGUGGGGAGCAAACAGGAUUAGAUACCCCCGUAGUC